GCUGUCAUGGAGACAGAAAACCAGAAGGAUUUCUUUCUCAUACUGAUAGAAAAAAACAGUGGCACCUGAAGCCCUCUUCUUUCCUGCAAAAACCCUGCAGAGAAGGACUUGGGAAAUCUGGUGGAUAGCAAUCUUGACACGAGCCAGCAGUGUGUUGUUGGCUGCCUGGAAGGCCAACCAUAUCCUGGGCUGCAUCAGGAGUAGCCAGCAACAAGGAGAAGGAGAUUGUUUGUCCCUCUUGACUCUCCCCAGCUGGACUAUUGCAUCAAGGCCUGGGAACUCCAGCACAAGAUGUGGAGCUGUUGAAGUAGGUCCAAAGGAGGGCCAUGAAGAAAGACUGAGGGAGCUGGACUUUCAGCUACAAGAGAAGGCUGUGGGGAAACCCCUUGGCAGCCUUCCAGCACGUAUCAUCCUUUUCCAGCGCACUGACAAGCAACGAGAAAAGAUAAGCAUCUGAAAACACAAGCUGAGUGGAAUUAAAAGGAGUAAAUAGUGCACUCGCUAGGAAGUAAUUAAAAGCCAUGAAGCAGGAAGAAGGCUGGAGGUGCCUAAAAGGCAUUAUAAUUAAAACCUAAUGCAUGUUAA
Coturnix japonica (Japanese quail) is the source of this 585-nucleotide non-coding RNA. Lineage: Eukaryota; Metazoa; Chordata; Aves; Galliformes; Phasianidae. The record is from RefSeq and is a predicted model, not a curated record.